RNAcentral lists this unclassified non-coding RNA (191 nucleotides) under uncultured Hypocreales. RNAcentral's name for it is "sequence contains ITS2". Lineage: Eukaryota; Fungi; Ascomycota; Sordariomycetes; Hypocreales. The record is from RNAcentral.
GCACCGCUCGAGCCCCAGGGCUCGGUGUUGGGAUGCUAGGGGCUGCGGCCCCCAGGUCCCCAAAGGUAUCGCGCGGCCCCAGGCCCAGGACCCAAGCACAGUAAACACCUCGUUUGAGCUGCUCCGGGAAGCUGGGCCGAGGCGCUGGCCGUAAAACCCCCGACAUGGGCCCCCCCGCGGGCCUGCUGACG